RNAcentral lists this ribosomal RNA (439 nucleotides) under uncultured bacterium. RNAcentral describes it as "bacterial SSU rRNA". It matches the Rfam family "Bacterial small subunit ribosomal RNA", at positions 28 to 463 of the family's 1533-position model. The record is from RNAcentral.
GAUUAACGCUAGCGGCAGGCAUAAUACAUGCAAGUUGAACGGGAUAAGUUGUAGCAAUACGGCUUUGAGAGUAGCGCACGGGUGCGUAACACGUAUGCAACCUGCCCUUUACUGGGGAAUAGCCUCUCGAAAGAGAGAUUAAUACCCCAUAACAUAUUUUGUAGGCAUCUAUAGAAUAUUAAAGCUACGGCGGUAAAGGAUGGGCAUGCGGCUGAUUAGGUAGUUGGUGAGGUAAUGGCUCACCAAGCCAACGAUCAGUAGGGGGUCUGAGAGGAUGUCCCCCCACACUGGUACUGAGACACGGACCAGACUCCUACGGGAGCAGCAGUAGGGAAUAUUGGACAAUGGGCGCAAGCCUGAUCCAGCCAUGCCGCGUGCCAGGAAGAAGGCCCUAUGGGUCGUAAACUGCUUUUGUACGGAACGAAACGGUCCUUUCUAA